GUAUCAGUAUUAUUUGCAAUUAAAGAAAGAUAUCUUGGAGGGCAACAUUCCUUGCACACUGGAACAAGGAAUACAUCUGGCUGGUUUAGCUGUUCAGGCUGAUUUUGGAGACUAUGAUCAGUAUGAAUCUCAGGAGUUUCUGCAAAGAUUUGCUUUGUUUCCAGUGGGUUGGCUACAAGAAGAAAAAAUACUG
Merops nubicus (carmine bee-eater) is the source of this 193-nucleotide long non-coding RNA. RefSeq lists it as uncharacterized. NCBI's taxonomy places the organism in Eukaryota, Metazoa, Chordata, Aves, Coraciiformes, Meropidae. The transcript has 3 exons. The record is from RefSeq and is a predicted model, not a curated record.